This 1238-nucleotide long non-coding RNA is filed under the name Coturnix japonica (Japanese quail). RNAcentral describes it as "lncRNA (ENSCJPG00005002022.1)". Lineage: Eukaryota; Metazoa; Chordata; Aves; Galliformes; Phasianidae. The record is from RNAcentral.
CUGCUUUGAAACAACUGAAGCUGCAUAUUGCAGCCAGUCAGUUGGACCUGAAGAACAAGCCCUUAGAAGAUGCAAAAGAUGCCUGCUUUACCAACAGCUACAAGGGGACUGUAAGGCAGGUUAUGCAAUAACUGCUACUGACCAGGAUAAAAGGACUAUUCUUCCAGUUCACCAAUUCUAAGCCGGGGACUGGAUCCUGAUCCAGACGGGGAAGGAGACAAAGCUGCAGCCUGACUGGGAAGGACCACUCCAAUGGUCCUUGGAUGGUCCUUCCUUUAAUGGUCCAAUGCUUUAAUGACUGAAACAGCUAUGAGGACAGACGAGAAAGGAUGGACUCACUACACACUGGUAAAGGCAUCCACUAGCCCUGAGGUGUGGGAACUGUUGCCACAGAAAAACCUUUAAAAGAUAAGAAUUAGAAGGAAAUCAUGAAAAGUUUUUUUUUUAUAUGCAUAUAUUUUUAAUUAUUAUUUUAACUAACCUUUAACUUUUCCUCAAAUAGGUGAAUAAAUUAUAUACGUAAGUGGGAGAAUAUUAUAACCUAUAUAAACUGUAACAACAUGUCAAUAGGUGCUUCUGCCAUCAGGGCGCCCGCCAUUGCAAUCGCGAAUAAAAACUGCUUUUAUCAGAAAUUAUGACCAAAAAUUAUUGAGGAUAUUUCCAACAGGCAGUAGCAUCUACUACUGUUACAAAACCAUCUAUGGGUAGUAAGAAGCACCCAUAUCCACCAGAAAACGAACCUCAAUAUCCUGCUUUCCUAAAUGCAAUUUCCCAUUGGGUAGGUAUGGCCAGCCAUACGGACCACAAACCCACACAGAACCGCAAGGUAUCGCUGCACAGAAGACUUAUUAGGACCCUUAGACAAGGAUCUGGGGAAAGUCGUAUUCUUACAGCAGCUUCUGGGUAAAGCUCCUACCCACAGCUCGGUUCCAUUGCAAGAGUUCUGUUCAACACACAAUGUCCUCUGGUGCUGUACCGGAGAUUGCCUCUUGCUGGGACAUACUCGUGGGGGUUAGGAGUAACAGGAACGCCAGGACAGCAAGGGAGGGAUGCCUGAUGACAAGGGUGUGCGAAUGUCCCCACCGAAGGAAGCAAAGAGAGCCGGCAGAAAGCGAUGCUUCAUUAGCGUAACAAAACACAGCCCCCAUUCCUCCCUCCCUCCUCCCCCGCACCCCUUCCCAUCGCCAUCCCCCGGGGGCAGAUGUGCCAUGAAAACGAGCUCUGGGCGUGAUCGUUGU